GAUGAACGCUAGCUACAGGCUUAACACAUGCAAGUCGAGGGGAAACGGCAUUGAGUGCUUGCACUCUUUGGACGUCGACCGGCGCACGGGUGAGUAACGCGUAUCCAACCUUCCCAUUACUGUGGGAUAACCUGCCGAAAGGCAGACUAAUACCGCAUAGUCUUCGAUGACGGCAUCAGAUUUGAAGUAAAGAUUUAUCGGUAAUGGAUGGGGAUGCGUCUGAUUAGCUUGUUGGCGGGGUAACGGCCCACCAAGGCUACGAUCAGUAGGGGUUCUGAGAGUAGGGCCCCCCACAGUGGAACGGGGACACGUGCAAAACUCAUACGGGAGACAGCGGUAAGGAAUGUUGGUCAAGGGACGAAAGCCUGAACCGCCAAAGUAGGGUGCAGAAUGCCGGCCUUAGGGUUGUAAACUGCUUUUGUAUGGGGAUAAAGUUAGGGACGUGUCCCUAUUUGCAGGUACCAUACGAAUAAGGACCGGCUAAUUCCGUG
Molecule: ribosomal RNA, 491 nt
Filed under: uncultured bacterium
Lineage: Bacteria
Description: partial 16S ribosomal RNA
Rfam family: Bacterial small subunit ribosomal RNA
Source: RNAcentral